GCUUCGUUCGUCUAGGGGACUAGGACAUCCGGUUUUCGCCCGGAGAACAGCGGUUCGAAUCCGCUACGAAGCGCCA
This 76-nucleotide transfer RNA is filed under the name compost metagenome. RNAcentral describes it as "tRNA-Glu". It matches the Rfam family "tRNA". Rfam says of the family: Transfer RNA (tRNA) molecules are approximately 80 nucleotides in length. The record is from RNAcentral.